RNAcentral lists this long non-coding RNA (230 nucleotides) under Setaria italica (foxtail millet). RNAcentral's name for it is "long non-coding RNA (SITA_LNC003024)". Lineage: Eukaryota; Viridiplantae; Streptophyta; Magnoliopsida; Poales; Poaceae. The record is from RNAcentral.
UCUUUCGACCCGAUCGGCAAUACUAACUUCCAAACCGGGUCUCCAGGGGAGAAUUGUUUGACUUUGACCUUCUUAUCGUACCACGUGGCUACUUUCUUCUUGUUUUCCUCAAUGCUUAUCAAAGCUCUCAACCGCUGGCCAGCCAAGUCAUCGAGUUCCCUCUUCAUGAGUGACGAGUAGUCAUCGGCCGUUAGCUGGUCUUGGAGCGAAAUGCGCCUUGACACCGCCCU